GUGUACUAUCCUUUCCAGUGUGACACUAAAUCAAGAUACUCGAUUACAAAAUUGGUAUGGAACUUCUAAAUGCAACAAAUUUUUAUAUUGCAUGUUCAUGAACUCUCUUUUCUAUUAUUGUGGAUCCACCAUUAUUCACUUUUCCAUGUCUUCAUUCUUUUGCAUUCUAUUUCGACCAUGAUUAACUAUUAUAUUGGCC
This 199-nucleotide long non-coding RNA is filed under the name Elaeis guineensis (African oil palm). RNAcentral's name for it is "long non-coding RNA (EGUI_LNC052296)". Lineage: Eukaryota; Viridiplantae; Streptophyta; Magnoliopsida; Arecales; Arecaceae. The record is from RNAcentral.